UAGGGAAUCUUCCGCAAUGGGCGAAAGCUUGACGGAGCAACGCCGCGUGAGUGAUUAAGGUCUUCGGAUCGUAAAACUCUGUUAUUAGGGAAGAACAAAUGUGUAAGUAACUAUGCACGUCUUGACGGUACCUAAUCAGAAAGCCACGGCUAACUACGUGCCAGCAGCCGCGGUAAUACGUAGGUGGCAAGCGUUAUCCGGAAUUAUUGGGCGUAAAGCGCGCGUAGGCGGUUUUUUAAGUCUGAUGUGAAAGCCCACGGCUCAACCGUGGAGGGUCAUUGGAAACUGGAAAACUUGAGUGCAGAAGAGGAAAGUGGAAUUCCAUGUGUAGCGGUGAAAUGCGCAGAGAUAUGGAGGAACACCAGUGGCGAAGGCGACUUUCUGGUCUGUAACUGACGCUGAUGUGCGAAAGCGUGGGGAUCAAACAGG
This 429-nucleotide ribosomal RNA is filed under the name Actinomycetes bacterium. RNAcentral's name for it is "Actinobacteria bacterium partial 16S ribosomal RNA". It matches the Rfam family "Bacterial small subunit ribosomal RNA", at positions 355 to 776 of the family's 1533-position model. Lineage: Bacteria; Bacillati; Actinomycetota; Actinomycetes. The record is from RNAcentral.